RNAcentral lists this ribosomal RNA (459 nucleotides) under uncultured bacterium. RNAcentral's name for it is "partial 16S ribosomal RNA". It matches the Rfam family "Bacterial small subunit ribosomal RNA", at positions 339 to 795 of the family's 1533-position model. The record is from RNAcentral.
CUACGGGUCGCUCCAGAAAGGAAUAUUGCGCAAUGGAGGCAACUCUGACGCAGCCAUGCCGCGUGCAGGAAGAAGGCCUUAUGGGUCGUAAACUGCUUUUAUUUAGGAAUAAACCCCCGAACGUGUUCGGGGCUGAAGGUACUAAACGAAUAAGCACCGGCUAGCUCCGUGCCAGCAGCCGCGGUAAUACGGAGGGUGCAAGCGUUAUCCGGAUUUAUUGGGUUUAAAGGGUGCGCAGGCGGGCUAUUAAGUCAGUGGUGAAAUCCCGGGGCUCAACUCCGGAACUGCCAUUGAUACUGAUAGUCUUGAGUUUGGUUGAAGUGGGCGGAAUGUAGCAUGUAGCGGUGACAUGCAUAGAUAUGCUACAGAACACCAAUCGCGAAGGCAGCUCACUAAGCCAAAACUGACGCUCAUGCACGAAAGCGUGGGGAUCAAACAGGAUUAGAUACCCCGGUAGUC